CCAUGGAGCUUUAAACCUCACCACGCACCUCUGUGUCCUCAUACCUUAAACACAAGAGAUCUAGCGUUCUAGUUUAGGUUGGGGACCACGGAGGUAUAACUUAACCUCCAUAACAAAUGGCUAACACCCUUAUCCAUGAGACACAGCUCUAAGAAUUACUAAACUAAUGCUUAUGACCCGAUAUUCGAUCAAUGAACCAAGUUA
RNAcentral lists this ribosomal RNA (204 nucleotides) under Rana temporaria (common frog). RNAcentral's name for it is "partial 16S ribosomal RNA". Lineage: Eukaryota; Metazoa; Chordata; Amphibia; Anura; Ranidae. The record is from RNAcentral.